GUUGAAUUGAGUUGAGUUGAGUUGCUUUAAAUAAUAUCACACAUUUUCUAAAUUAAAUUUUAUUAUUACCUUUCAGUUUUAAACAAUUUUAUUUUUUAAUUUUUAGUUUUAUACUUUAAGUUUAUUUGAUGUGGCAAGCUUCUAUUGGUCAAUACAUAUUUUAGUUAAUUAAACUGAAUUUCAUUUCACAAAUUUUUAUUUUACUUUUAACUUCUAAAUUUCAAUAGUCUAUCAACAGUCUUUUUUUUUUAACUUUUCAAAUCAAUUUCUAAUUUAUUCUUAUUGUUUUAUUUUAAGUUUUAAAUAUUAUAGACAAAAUCGACCAGGCCUUAAUUCCAAA
This 340-nucleotide unclassified non-coding RNA is filed under the name Hevea brasiliensis (rubber tree). Lineage: Eukaryota; Viridiplantae; Streptophyta; Magnoliopsida; Malpighiales; Euphorbiaceae. The record is from RNAcentral.